AGAGUUUGAUCCUGGCUCAGGAUGAACGCUAGCGAUAGGCUUAACACAUGCAAGUCGAGGGGCAGCGAGAUGUAGCAAUACGUCGUCGGCGACCGGCGAAUGGGUGAGUAACACGUAUGCAACUUACCUCUUAGAGGUGAAUAACCCGAUGAAAGUCGGACUAAUACACCAUAUACUCCUUGGGUCACAUGAAUUGAGGAGGAAAGAUUUAUCGCUAAGAGAUAGGCCUGCGUUCCAUUAGCUCGUUGGUAAGGUAACGGCUUACCAAGGCAACGAUGGAUAGGGGGACUGAGAGGUUGACCCCCCACAUUGACACUGAGAUACGGGUCAAACUCCUACGGGAGGCAGCAGUGAGGAAUAUUGGUCAAUGGGCGAGAGCCUGAACCAGCCAAGUCGCGUGAAGGAAGACUGCCCGCAAGGGUUGUAAACUUCUUUUGUAUGGGAUUAAAGUCGUCUACGUGUAGACGUUUGCAGUUACCAUACGAAUAAGCAUCGGCUAACUCCGUG
RNAcentral lists this ribosomal RNA (507 nucleotides) under uncultured Porphyromonas sp. Its description in RNAcentral is "bacterial SSU rRNA". It matches the Rfam family "Bacterial small subunit ribosomal RNA", at positions 8 to 507 of the family's 1533-position model. The record is from RNAcentral. Lineage: Bacteria; Pseudomonadati; Bacteroidota; Bacteroidia; Bacteroidales; Porphyromonadaceae.